AUUGAACGCUGGCGGCAGGCCUAACACAUGCAAGUCGAGCGGCGCGGCGGACGGGUGCGUAAUGCCUAUGAAUCUGCCUGGUCGUGGGGGAUAAGGUCCGGAACUGGGCGCUAAUACCGCAACCUAUCAGAUUAGCCUAGGUGGGAUUAGCUUGUUGGUGGGGUAAAGGCGUAGCAAGGCGACGAUCCGUAACUGGGCUGAGAGGAUGAUCAGUCACACUGGAACUGAGACACGGUCCAGACUCCUACGGGAGGCAGCAGUGGGGAAUAUUGGACAAUGGGCGAAAGCCUGAUGCAGCCAUGCCGCGUGUGUGAAGAAGGCCUUCGGAUUGUAAAGCACUUUAAGUUGGGAGGCGUUACCAACAGAAGAAGCACCGGCUAACUCCGUGCCAGCCGCCGCGGUAAUUC
RNAcentral lists this ribosomal RNA (407 nucleotides) under uncultured bacterium. RNAcentral describes it as "partial 16S ribosomal RNA". It matches the Rfam family "Bacterial small subunit ribosomal RNA", at positions 30 to 526 of the family's 1533-position model. The record is from RNAcentral.